GGACUACCCGGGUUUCUAAUCCUGUUUGCUCCCCACGCUUUCGUGUCUCAGCGUCAGUGGCCGUCCAGAAAGCCGUCUACACCACCGGUGUUCCUCCUGAUAUCUACGCAUUUCACCGCUACACCAGGAAUUCCGCUUUCCUCUCCGGCACUCUAGCCAGGCAGUUUUCGGCGCACCCUCCCAGUUAAGCCGGGAGAUUUCACACAGAACUUACCCAACCGCCUACACACUCUUUACGCCCAGUAAUUCCGAACAACGCUUGCUGCCUACGUAUUACCGCGGCUGCUGGCAC
Molecule: ribosomal RNA, 292 nt
Filed under: uncultured Acidobacteriota bacterium
Lineage: Bacteria; Pseudomonadati; Acidobacteriota
Description: uncultured Acidobacteria bacterium partial 16S ribosomal RNA
Source: RNAcentral